AAGCGGUGGAGCAUGUGGCUUAAUUCGAGGCUACGCGAAGAACCUUAUCCCGGGCUUGACAUGUGCGAAAGCGGCAGGAAGUAGCCUGCGGAAACGUAAGGCCAACGGUACCCAGUCCGGAGCCUGCUACAGGUGCUGCAUGGCUGUCGUCAGCUCGUGUCGUGAGAUGUUGGGUUAAGUCCCGUAACGAGCGAAACCCUUGCCUCCAGUUGCCAGCGCGUCACGGCGGGGACUCUGGAGGGACUGCCGGUGUUAAACCGGAGGAAGGCGGGGAUG
This 276-nucleotide ribosomal RNA is filed under the name uncultured Planctomycetota bacterium. RNAcentral describes it as "uncultured planctomycete partial 16S ribosomal RNA". It matches the Rfam family "Bacterial small subunit ribosomal RNA", at positions 927 to 1181 of the family's 1533-position model. Lineage: Bacteria; Pseudomonadati; Planctomycetota. The record is from RNAcentral.